This 457-nucleotide ribosomal RNA is filed under the name uncultured eukaryote. Its description in RNAcentral is "eukaryotic LSU rRNA". It matches the Rfam family "Eukaryotic large subunit ribosomal RNA", at positions 1050 to 1486 of the family's 3401-position model. The record is from RNAcentral.
ACCUAUUCUCGAACUCCGAACGGGCAAGGAGCCGGGGUCGCCCGAUCGGACCCCGGACGUGAAGUCGACGAUGGUCGGUGGGCUGGUUUUGGUUAAGCAGAACGGGCGGAUUCGGGAUGAACCGGAAGCGGGGAGAAAGGGCCCGAGAUUGCGUCGACGCGGAUCCCGAAAAGGGCGUCGAUCCGUCGCGACAGCGGGACGGUGGCCAUGGAAGUCGGAACCCGCUAAGGAGUGUGUAACAACUCACCUGCCGAAUGAACUAGCCCUGAAAAUGGAUGGCGCUUAAAGCGUAUAACUUAUACUUAACCCUUACUUGAAUUAUAAUAGCGAGUAAAGGAGUAGGAGGGCGUAAAAGUUUCUAUUAUAAUGGCUGUUAAGCAUCUAAGCGUAAGCUUAUGUGGAGCAAACUUUAGUGUAGAUCUUGGUGGUAGUAGCAAAUAUUCAAAUGAGAACUUUG